This 464-nucleotide ribosomal RNA is filed under the name uncultured Bacteroidales bacterium. RNAcentral describes it as "bacterial SSU rRNA". It matches the Rfam family "Bacterial small subunit ribosomal RNA", at positions 920 to 1382 of the family's 1533-position model. The record is from RNAcentral. Lineage: Bacteria; Pseudomonadati; Bacteroidota; Bacteroidia; Bacteroidales.
CCCGCACAAGCGGUGGAGCAUGUGGUUAAUUCGACGCAACGCGAAGAACCUUACCAGGGCUUGACAUCCCCUGACCGCGUAUGAAAGACGUUUUCACCCUCGGGUGACAGGGAGACAGGUGGUGCAUGGUUGUCGUCAGCUCGUGUCGUGAGAUGUUGGGUUAAGUCCUGCAACGAGCGCAACCCCUGUUUCCAGUUGCCAUCAAGUAAAGUUGGGGACUCUGGAGAGACUGCCUGCGCAAGCAGAGAGGAAGGUGGGGGAUGACGUCAAGUCAGCACGGCCCUUACGUCCAGGGCUACACACGUGCUACAAUGGCCGGUACAGAGGGCAGCGACCUGGUGACAGGUAGCGAAUCUCCAAAGCCGGUCUCAGUUCGGAUCGGAGUCUGCAACUCGACUCCGUGAAGCUGGAUUCGCUAGUAAUCGGAUAUCAGCAAUGAUCCGGUGAAUACGUUCCCGGGCCUU